RNAcentral lists this ribosomal RNA (497 nucleotides) under uncultured bacterium. RNAcentral describes it as "partial 16S ribosomal RNA". It matches the Rfam family "Bacterial small subunit ribosomal RNA", at positions 28 to 507 of the family's 1533-position model. The record is from RNAcentral.
GAUGAACGCUGGCGGCGUGCCUAAUACAUGCAAGUCGAGCGAACAGACGAGGAGCUUGCUCCUCUGACGUUAGCGGCGGACGGGUGAGUAACACGUGGAUAACCUACCUAUAAGACUGGGAUAACUUCGGGAAACCGGAGCUAAUACCGGAUAAUAUAUUGAACCGCAUGGUUCAAUAGUGAAAGACGGUUUUGCUGUCACUUAUAGAUGGAUCCGCGCCGCAUUAGCUAGUUGGUAAGGUAACGGCUUACCAAGGCAACGAUGCGUAGCCGACCUGAGAGAGGGAUCGGCGACACUGGAACGGAGACGCGGUCCAGACGCCUACGGGAGGCAGCAGUAGGGAAUCGGCCGCAGUGGGCGGAAGCCUGACGGAGCAACGCCGCGUGAGUGAUGAAGGUCUUCGGAUCGUAAAACUCUGUUAUUAGGGAAGAACAAAUGUGUAAGUAACUAUGCACGUCGUGACGGUACCUAAUCAGAAAGCCACGGCUAACUACGUG